This 499-nucleotide ribosomal RNA is filed under the name uncultured bacterium. RNAcentral describes it as "partial 16S ribosomal RNA". It matches the Rfam family "Bacterial small subunit ribosomal RNA", at positions 28 to 507 of the family's 1533-position model. The record is from RNAcentral.
GACGAACGCUGGCGGCGUGCUUAACACAUGCAAGUCGAACGGGCCCGCUCUCUUUUUUGGGGGUGGGUUGAGUGGCGAACGGGUGAGUAUCACGUGAGUAACCUGCCCCCUGCUCCUGGAUAACUGCUUGAAAGGGCGGCUAAUACGGGGUGUGCCGGCUGUUCCGCAUGGGCCUGGUCGGGAUAGUUUCAUCUUCGGGUGUUUCGGUGGGGGAUGGGCUCGCGGCCUAUCAGCUUGUUGGUGGGGUGAUGGCCCACCAAGGCGGUGACGGGUAGCCGGCCUGGGAGGGUGGGCGGCCAGACUGGGACUGAGACACGGCCCAGACUCCUGCGGGAGGCAGCGGUGGGGGGUAUUGCACAAUGGGCGGAAGCCUGAUGCAGCGACGUCGCGUGAGGGAUGGAGGCCUUCGGGUUGUGAACCUCUUUCUCCGGUGGUGAAGGCCCUGUCCGUUGCGGCGGGGUUGACGGUAGCCGGGUAUGAAGCGCCGGCUAACUACGUG